RNAcentral lists this ribosomal RNA (100 nucleotides) under Gymnopilus pyrrhus. RNAcentral describes it as "Gymnopilus pyrrhum partial 28S ribosomal RNA". Lineage: Eukaryota; Fungi; Basidiomycota; Agaricomycetes; Agaricales; Galerinaceae. The record is from RNAcentral.
CAGUUCAGCUUUCUAACAGUCCCCGGACAAAUUUAUCAUCAUUAAUGUGACCUCAAAUCAGGUAGGACUACCCGCUGAACUUAAGCAUAUCAAUAAGCGG